GCCGGGCGUGGUGGCGCACGCCUGUAAUCUCAGCACUUGGGAGGCUGAGGCAGGAGGAUCGCUGUGUUGAGACCAGCCUGGGCUACAUAUUGAGUUCCAGGUCAGUCUCAACUACAUAGUGAGACCCUGUCUCUC
RNAcentral lists this non-coding RNA (135 nucleotides) under Fukomys damarensis (Damara mole-rat). Lineage: Eukaryota; Metazoa; Chordata; Mammalia; Rodentia; Bathyergidae. The record is from Rfam by way of RNAcentral.